This 29-nucleotide non-coding RNA is filed under the name Homo sapiens (human). The record is from RNAcentral. Lineage: Eukaryota; Metazoa; Chordata; Mammalia; Primates; Hominidae.
UNGCCAGGGCUUGGUUUAAGCUGUUGUGC